This 367-nucleotide ribosomal RNA is filed under the name uncultured organism. Its description in RNAcentral is "bacterial LSU rRNA". It matches the Rfam family "Bacterial large subunit ribosomal RNA", at positions 2099 to 2465 of the family's 2925-position model. The record is from RNAcentral.
CUUUACUGUAGCCUGUUAUUGGGUUCGGGCUUUGCUCGCGCAGGAUAGGUGGGAGGCGUUGAGAUAUUCCUUGUGGGGAAUGUGGAGCCAACGGUGAGAUACCACUCUGGUGAGGCUAGAAUUCUAACCCGAUGCCGUGAACCGGCUUGGGAACAGUUUCAGGCGGGCAGUUUGACUGGGGCGGUCGCCUCCUAAAAGGUAACGGAGGCGCGCAAAGGUUCUCUCAGGCUGGUUGGAAAUCAGCCGUAGAGUGUAAAGGCAUAAGAGAGCUUGACUGCGAGACGUACAGGUCGAGCAGGGUGGAAACACGGCCUUAGUGAUCCGACGGCGCUGCGUGGAAAGGCCGUCGCUAAACGGAUAAAAGUUA